CCUACGGGUGGCAGCAGUGAGGAAUCUUGGUCAAUGGGCGCGAGUCUGAACCAGCCAAGUAGCGUGAAGGAUGACUGCCCUACGGGUUGUAAACUUCUUUUAUAAAGGAAUAAAGUGAGGCACGUGUGUCUUUUUGUAUGUACUUUAUGAAUAAGGAUCGGCUAACUCCGUGCCAGCAGCCGCGGUAAUACGGAGGGUGCGAGCGUUAUCCGGAUUUAUUGGGUUUAAAGGGAGCGUAGAUGGGUUGUUAAGUCAGUUGUGAAAGUAUGCGGCUCAACCGGAGAAUUGCAGUUGAAACUGGCAGACUUGAGUACAGUAGAGGUGAGCGGAACUCGUUGUGUAGCGGUGAAAUGCGUAGAUAUAACGAAGAACUCCGAUGGCGAAGGCAGCUUACUGGACUGCAACUGACACUGAGGCUCGAAAGUGUGGGUAGCGAACAGGAUUAGAUACCCUAGUAGUC
Molecule: ribosomal RNA, 460 nt
Filed under: uncultured bacterium
Lineage: Bacteria
Description: partial 16S ribosomal RNA
Rfam family: Bacterial small subunit ribosomal RNA
Source: RNAcentral